GACAGAGGGUGCAAACGUUGCUCGGAAUCACUGGGCGUAAAGGGUGCGUAGGCGGGUCUUUAAGUCAGGGGUGAAAUCCUGGAGCUCAACUCCAGAACUGCCUUUGAUACUGAGGAUCUUGAGUUCGGGAGAGGUGAGUGGAACUGCGAGUGUAGAGGUGAAAUUCGUAGAUAUUCGCAAGAACACCAGUGGCGAAGGCGGCUCACUGGUCCGGUACUGACGCUGAGGUGCGAAAGCGUGGGGAGCAAACAGG
Molecule: ribosomal RNA, 253 nt
Filed under: uncultured bacterium
Lineage: Bacteria
Description: partial 16S ribosomal RNA
Rfam family: Bacterial small subunit ribosomal RNA
Source: RNAcentral